GAUGAACGCUGGCGGCGUGCCUAAUACAUGCAAGUCGAGCGAACGGACGAGAAGCUUGCUUCUCUGAUGUUAGCGGCGGACGGGUGAGUAACACGUGGAUAACCUACCUAUAAGACUGGGAUAACUUCGGGAAACCGGAGCUAAUACCGGAUGAUAUUUUGAACCGCAUGGUUCAAAAGUGAAAGACGGUCUUGCUGUCACUUAUAGAUGGAUCCGCGCUGCAUUAGCUAGUUGGUAAGGUAACGGCUUACCAAGGCAACGAUGCAUAGCCGACCUGAGAGGGUGAUCGGCCACACUGGAACUGAGACACGGUCCAGACUCCUACGGGAGGCAGCAGUAGGGAAUAUUCCGCAAUGGGCGAAAGCCUGACGGAGCCACGCCGCGUGAGUGAUGAAGGUCUUCGGAUCGUAAAACUCUGUUAUUAGGGAAGAACAUAUGUGUAAGUAACUGUGCACAUCUUGACGGUACCUAAUCAGAAAGCCACGGCUAACUCCGUG
Molecule: ribosomal RNA, 497 nt
Filed under: uncultured bacterium
Lineage: Bacteria
Description: partial 16S ribosomal RNA
Rfam family: Bacterial small subunit ribosomal RNA
Source: RNAcentral